AAAGGCUGGAAAUAGCUGGUUCUCCGCGAAAUCUAUUUAGGUAGAGCCUCGAGUGAAUACCCCAGGGGGUAGAGCACUGGAUGGGCUAGGGGCCCCCACAGGGUUACCAAACCUAACCAAACUCCGAAUACCUGGGAGUACUACUCGGGAGACACACGGCGGGUGCUAACGUCCGUCGUGAAAAGGGAAAAAACCCUGACCGACAGCUAAGGUCCUCAAGUCAUGGCUAAGUGGGAAAGGAUGUGGAAAUCCCAAAACAACCAGGAGGUUGGCUUAGAAGCAGCCAUCCUUUAAAGAAAGCGUAACAGCUCACUGGUCUAAGUAAGGGUUUCUGCGCCGAAAAUGUAACGGGGCUAAAGCCAUGCACCGAAGCUUCGGGUGUGCGCAAGCACGCGGUAGCGGAGCGUUCCGUAAGUCUGUGAAGGGAGACCCGUGAGGGCUCCUGGAGAUAUCGGAAGUGCGAAUGCAGACAUGAGUAACGACAGGAGUGUGAGAAACACUCCCGCCGAGAGUCCAAGGGUUCCUGCGUAAAGUUAAUCUGCGCAGGGUUAGCCGGCCCCUAAGGCGAGGGCGAAAGCCGUAGUCGAUGGGAACCACGUUAAUAUUCGUGGGCCAGUGGGAGAGUGACGGAUGGUAGAUGUUGUCAGACCUUAUCGGAUUGGUCUGGCUUCGAAGCCGUCCCUGGAAAUAGCCCCCACAUAGACCGUACCCGAAACCGACACAGGUGGACAGGUAGAGAAUACCAAGGCGCUUGAGCGAAGUGUGCUGAAGGAACUCGGCAAAUUACCUGCGUAACUUCGGGAGAAGCAGGCCAUCCGUUUGGGCAACCAGGCGGGUGGGGCACAGACCAGGGGGUUGCGACUGUUUAGCAAAAACACAGGGCUAUGCUAAGUCUAAAUGACGACGUAUAUGGCCUGACGCCUGCCCGGUGCCGGAAGGUUAAGAGGAGAAGUGAAAGCUUUGAAUCGAAGCCCCGGUAAACGGCGGCCGUAACAAUAACGGUCCUAAGGUAGCGAAAUUCCUUGUCGGGUAAGUUCCGACCUGCACGAAUGGCGUAACGACUUCCCCACUGUCUCCAGUACACACUCAGUGAAAUUGAAUUCCCCGUGAAGAAGCGGGGUUCCUGCGGUUAGACGGAAAGACCCCGUGCACCUUUACUGCAACUUUGCACUGGCAAUCGUAUUUGCAUGUGUAGAAUAGGUGGUAGGCUUUGAAGCCAGGGCGUCAGCUUUGGUGGAGCCGUAAUGUGAAAUACCACCCUUACGAAUAUGGUUGUCUAACCGCGAUC
This 1288-nucleotide ribosomal RNA is filed under the name metagenome. RNAcentral describes it as "bacterial LSU rRNA". It matches the Rfam family "Bacterial large subunit ribosomal RNA", at positions 834 to 2233 of the family's 2925-position model. The record is from RNAcentral.